CGAAUAGUGGGGUCCAGAUUAUGCUCAUUCACAGCCAUAUUUACAUUUUUGCCAUCGUAACGAAGGUUUUUGCAAGACAAUUUCUUUGAGUUUAUUUCAUGGUUAAAUGCUUUACGAUGGUUUAUUAAGUUAUUUGAAUCUGCAAGAAGUGUGCAAAUUUCCCUUGAGACGAUAAAUAACAGAUCGGGUUGGGAUUUUAUUCCAAUAAAUGUACGGAAUAACUAAACAUGGCCUCGUUAAUAUUGCUGCGUAAUGGGUCAGUCGCUGUUCCAAUUUUAUGAUUUAAGAGAUUAAAAAGCGAUACGCGAUGCUGUGAAGUACUCAAAUGUAGUUCUCAAAUUAGUUGGUCGUGAAUUGGAGACAAAAUUUUAAGCUCAAUGACGUGCUCGUGGAAGGUGCACGUCGCAUUGCUAGAAUCAGCAAAGGAGCUGGUGUAGAACGCUAGUCCCAAACCAAUGAGCUUUGUGCUUGAGGGUGGAAGCAACUUUUUGAGGAGCAAACACUACGGUGAACACAUUCGGAUGUUGCACAAGCUAUUGUCAAUUGCGCUAAGGAUCCCGAUACUGCUGGUCAGGUUUAUCAAGCUGUUGGAUCAAAGCGUUACCAGUUGAGCGAAUUAAUUGAAACCAGUCAAUCGUGUUAUGCGCAAAAAUUAAAAAUGCGUUGUAUCCUACCUUCCUAUUGAAAGCCAAGUCGUUUGGUUGUACAAUUGACCUCCAUGGAAGAGCAAGUACCAUGGAAAUUGCGACCCUAUCGUGUUGCGCAAUAUUAUGAUGCCGAAUUGGGAGAGUGGGAGGAACCAGCUCCACCAAAAUCGAUAGAAGAACUACGUAUGUUUGCAUAAAACUACUAUAAUGGCAACAACCAAGCAAAUAUUAAACAACACUCAUCAAAUGAAAGUUGGUGGCGUUGGUGGCCAAGCAGCGAUUUAAAAAGAAAUAUUUGCAUCUACGCGAAUUACAAUUCGUCUUUACAUCUAGUGAAUUAUGAAUAUGAAAGUAUAUAACUUAUCGCAGUUAUUUGUUUUUACUAUUGCAUUUAGUUUUACUUUGUGAACAGCAAAGCUGGCGGAACCUUUUUCUACCGAUUUUAUAAUUAUAACCACAAAUAAAAAGUAAAUUGUAACUAAA
Molecule: long non-coding RNA, 1130 nt
Organism: Bactrocera neohumeralis
Lineage: Eukaryota; Metazoa; Arthropoda; Insecta; Diptera; Tephritidae
Exons: 3
Source: RefSeq, a predicted model, not a curated record